Non-coding RNA from Paramormyrops kingsleyae, 1126 nucleotides. The record is from RefSeq and is a predicted model, not a curated record. Lineage: Eukaryota; Metazoa; Chordata; Actinopteri; Osteoglossiformes; Mormyridae.
AGAGACCUCUUCCAGUCAAAUGUGCCACUAUCAUCAGGCCCCCCAUCACUGAUGACUCAGGAGGGUUCUUCCUGUGAGGACAAUGCUGCUGCAAGGAAAGGAGUAUCCACUAUAUAUUUAAAGAGAAAAAAAUUCCUCAAUCUCUUCCAGAAGAUGUCAUGUCACAGAAAAUGGAACAUCAGAGACAGCUCAUUCCUUUUGAAACUCUGUGCCAGGUGUGCCCAGACUACCCUAAACUUGACGAGGCUGUUCUAAUUACUAAUAAAGCAAGGAUUGUCAGCAUGAUGGGAAUGAUUGAGAAUGUUUCAACAUACCACAGAUUGUGUCCUCAGUGCCACAUGGUGUACAGAUCAACGAUGCUGUCUUUAGAUGAGAGUUUCACACAUUAAUAGGGUUUUCAAAAUCUAGUGUUUAACAUAAAGCACCAUUAAAAAUCAGUUUAUAAAUUAUGCCAACCUGAAAAUAAAACUGAAAUUGCUAUGUAUGACACACUUUAACCAACUGGGAGCAUGUGACUGUACUUUUACAUUUUGUUGUGUCCAGGCCGUGUUCCUAAGGCCGUGUUCCUAAGGCUUGUGUACUUAAAGUUGGUGCUAUUAGCAAAUAGCAUUUCACACCCAUCAUGAUGAUGUCUGUUAACUUGUGAAUGUAAUUGUCUUGGAAAAAGGAAUCUUGCAGUGAAGAUCAUUCCAGGGCAGUGGUCAGAAAAAAAUAGGUUUGACUUGAAGGUAUGUAAUGGUGUGAGUGUAUGGUGAAUUACAUGAAUUACGCUAGUCGUCUUUUAAGGGAUUUUAUUAAUGAACCUUUAUUUUCUCUGUAAUAAAGGGUUUUCCGAGCCAAGACUUUGGAAUUGACUGUGGGAUCUUCAUGCUAAUGUCUGCUCUCUACGUGGAACUGGAUGCACCAUUUGAUUAUACUAGAACAUGCCCUACUUGCGGAAAUGGUGGUGCUUGCUGUUGAUGGAGAACUUUGAUCUCAGGAGGUAUUUAUAUUUUGGCUUCUGUGCUAUAUUGUCUCAAGGUUUAGACACAUUAACAAUAUCAAAAUUUUCUGUUAAGCUAUGGCAAGCUUUUUGCACACUGGAGAGAGGACACCAAAGUUGUGCUUCAAGGACAACAUGUGCCCA